AGUGGGAAUUUUGCACAAUGGGCGAAAGCCUGAUGCAGCGACACCGCGUGAGGGAUGAAUGCCUUCGGGUUGUAAACCUCGUUAUAAGUACCGGCUAACUACGUGCCAGCAGCAGCGGUCACACGUAGGGUACGAGCAUUACCCGGUUUUACUGGGCGUAAAGAGUUCUGUAGGCGGUAGUGUAAGUUAAGGGUUAAACCCCCCGGCUUAACCGGGGAUCGGCUCUUGAUACUGCAUUACUAAGAGGUAACUAGGGGGUAGCGGAACGUAUGGUGUAGCAGUGAAAUGCGUUGAUAUCAUACGGAACACCAAGGGGGAAGCCAGCUACCUGGGGUUAACCUGACGCUGAGAGACGAAAGCGUGGGGAGCGAAACGGAUUAGAUACCCUUGUAGUCC
This 396-nucleotide ribosomal RNA is filed under the name uncultured bacterium. Its description in RNAcentral is "bacterial SSU rRNA". It matches the Rfam family "Bacterial small subunit ribosomal RNA", at positions 353 to 796 of the family's 1533-position model. The record is from RNAcentral.